Molecule: non-coding RNA, 1423 nt
Organism: Podarcis muralis (Common wall lizard)
Lineage: Eukaryota; Metazoa; Chordata; Lepidosauria; Squamata; Lacertidae
Source: RefSeq, a predicted model, not a curated record
CUGGAUUGAUGGAGCUGUUAGCGGCUUCCCGCUCUUUCCAAUUUCUCUGUGGGGAGAAGCGCAGCUUCAGGCGGAAUUAGUGACAAAAUAGGAUGCAGCAGGAGGCGAAGAGAAGGGGGAGAGUUUAUGGCGAGCACCAACUGCCUUUCCCCUUAUAUUCAAAUAUUCAUUUGCAUUGCAGCUGAGACGCAGAUGUUCUUGGAAUUGCGGUUAUCGACAAACAUUUGUAGGCUGGGAAAACUCUUUGUCUUGGUAAAUACAGAGACAGGGAGUGAGACAAAAUUGCAACUGCAGAGGGUCUAGUACCCAAAGCUUUAGCUUAUCUAGACAAUUAAAUAAGCAAUAGUGUGCUGAUGUCCUGUUUGUGUUUAAUACUUUGGGGAGGCGCCUUGCUGUUCAGGGGGUGGUUUUGCUACUGGAAGAACAGAUUUUUGCCACUUAAAAAAUAAAAAAGGAGGAGGUGUGCAUUCUGGCAUUGUAGAUUAAAAAUGUCACAGAAUUAUAGAAAUUCCAAAAAGAGUGGGGAAUGUACGGAGAUUACCUAAAAUAAACAGUGUCCCCCAAUCAAAACCUAGACUUGCUUUGAGUAAUAUUUGCAAAACCAAAAUAUGGCUUACAAGUAUAGUAUAUGGAGAAGGGUAGAAGUGAUGAAAUGAGAAAGAAACAGUUUAUCAAACAGGAAAUCAGGCCUGCUUUGAGGAGGAAGGAGGUCUAAUAGAAUAAGAAUCAGAAAUAGAAAAUAGGGUAACAUCAGUCCAUGGAAUUAUAGAACUGAAAGGGGGCUUUGUAGACAUCUGCCAGUCCAAACAUCUGCUUGAUGCAGGCAACCCAGAGGUAGAAUAUCUCCAGCUGAUAGCAGUCUACCCUCUGCUUCAAGACCUCCAGUGAAGAAGAGACCAUCAUCGCCCUCCAGGAAGGAGCCAUGGCUCAGUGGUACAGCCUCUGCUUUGCAUGCAGAAGAUACACAGCAUCUCCAAGUACGGCUGAGAACGUCCUGUCUGAACCCCUGAUGCCAGUAAGUGAAGACAACGUUGAAGUAGAUGGACUAGGGGUCUGACUCAGUGUAAGGCAGGUGCCUAUAUUCCUAUAUUCCAGGACUCAGGCCAACUUCUCAUCUGUGAUCUGUGCUAAUUCCACCAAUAAUCUGCCCGAGAACUGAAAGCAAGGACUCUUAACAGCAAAGUCCUUUGUUGCAUAUGCAACCAUAGGAGCCUGCCAAGGGAUUUUGAUUUGGCAGGUAUCCGCUAGGAGCUACAACAAAUCUCUUUUGCAUGUCGCUUAUCAAGUACGUGCCAAACAAGAAUGGCCUUGCAUUCCAACUACCAAACACUGCACAAUAGAAAUCAUCCGUGUAAUCAUAAAGGUAAAGGGACCCCUGACCAUUAGGUCCAGUCGUGACCGACUCUGGGGUUGCAGCGCUCAU